This is a long non-coding RNA of Manis pentadactyla (Chinese pangolin), 2135 nucleotides long. RefSeq lists it as uncharacterized. The transcript is spliced from 2 exons. Lineage: Eukaryota; Metazoa; Chordata; Mammalia; Pholidota; Manidae. The record is from RefSeq and is a predicted model, not a curated record.
AAGGUCGGCGCCUUCCUCGACAGGACGGCCAUGAUGAGGAGGUCGGACUCGGCCGUUAAAAGGCCGCCAUGUUGGACGAGUCAGAGGGUGUUUGGGCUGUGCAUGUCCAGUAAGCAAUUGAGUCAGCUGUCCUGAAAACUGGAGGAUCUCGUUGGAGAAAAAAAAUCACUUGAGCUGAUUGUGAGAAAUCGAACAGUAGCAGGAGGAGGAAGAUGAGAGAAGAAAGGAGCCGCCAUGUCCAAACAGGCAGGCGGGGCACAGUGCAUACUGAUGCAGGUGGUGGCUGGAUCCCUGCUGUGGCUCAUUACUCAGCUUCUCAGAGGCCACCAGGUGAGGGACGGGGACAACCUGGCUGCAGUGCUGAGCUCUGAACAGGGCUGUUCUGCAGCAUGGACAGCACCCUCGUGCCUGCUAGGUACCCUGGUUGUGAACCAAUUCCAUUUUUAAAAGUGCAGACCACACCACCACCACGGGCUCCUCAGUAUCUCAUUUCCCUCCGUUCCACGGAGUUCAGCGCUGCUGUUUAAUCUGGUGAUCUUAAGGAAAAUUUCACGGAGCCUGCUGGGGCCCCGCCCCAGAAAGGGCACCCCCUGCUGGUGGUGAUGGAAGAAGGUAGUUUCACUGUAGAUCUGAGCAGAAGGUGAGGAAAACCCACAAAAUCUGUGUUUUCCAUGGAAAGCGUCAGUGAGCAUUUUUUCCCUGGCUUUUUUGGGGUGUUUUACAGAUAAUGGAGUGAACUGGUGUGGUGGAACCUGGAAGGACGAGGAGGAGUGUUGGACCCAGUUGCUCCCAACCACACGCUUUAUAGAUUCCUGGUCUAGUCUUCAUUUCUCUCCCCACAUGCUGUGCAGCCCCCUCUCCCCAUUUACUGCCUGGCCGCAUUUGCGGGGAACCUGCAGCUGCUCUUGCGUUGAUCAGUCCGUGCGUUGAAUGUGAAUGUGUAGCGUGCAAGGUCUGGGUCCCCUGCAAGGUUCGAAUGUUCCUCGGGAACCAGAAGAGGUUCAUUUUAAGCGUUGGGGUCUUCUUGUUCCCUAACUACUCUCUGUGGCUAAGCCCUCACAGUGGUCGUGGUGGGUGGAAAUCCAGAACAGGCACUGUGUCUAAUUGCUGGUAACCUAUGGAUGGAGGGAGCUGUGGUGCCUAUCUGGUCCCAGUUUAUAAAUAAAUGAACAUUCAUUAACGUAAAAUUAAAUUAGACUGAAAUUUCCCAUCCAGUUUUGUUUAGAAGGCAGAAAUAACUGGGUUGGCUGUGUAAUUUUGCUGCAGAUGCUGGAGCAUGUAGUCACAAGGUGAUAAUAAUAAUAGUAAUUUGCUCUUUGUUGGUGCCUUCGUCCCCAGAUCUCAAGGCAGAUAUUACCACCUUGCUUUUGCAAAGGUUCACUGAGGUGAAAGGGCUAGCUAGAAGUUACUCAUCAAGGGGUUGAGUGCAGAGGCCUUAAAACUCUUUGGCCCAUUAGACCUUGAGCUUGUCAGUAAACAGAAAGUGGAACAGGAUCCAGGAGACCAGAAUUCCAGGCCUUGCUCUGUGUGGGUAAAAUUGUAACUUAUCCAGAAUACCUCCCUGGGCUUUAGUACAUAUGCACAUCAACAGGAGGAGCUCAAGGGUGGAGAGAAGUACGGCUUUAGUGGAUUUGCGUAAUUCCUCAGGAGUGGAGAGAACUUUAUCUCCGUAUCAGUGGGUAAUUACCUGGGCAACCGAGGGCUUCUCUGUACCUGAGAUGUGAGGAGGAGGGUCGGUUUUGCUGCUGCUGGAGCAGGAGAGAGAUGGGUCGGACUGGGACUGAAGUUUGUAAGCAAUAAAUGGGUUUUAAACUUUAUUUCUCCCUUUGACUGAUUCCAGCUUUUAGAGGUAUUUUGCACCGAGGUGUCCUUUCCCCAGACUUACAGUCUGCCACUGACUCAGUGUGUGGGCAAAAAAACGCCAUCUCUCUGGGCCUCAGUUUCCUCACCUAUCAUGGAAGGACUGGCACAGACAUUCCAGUUCUAUGAGUCUUAAGUUAAUAUUUAAACAGAGAACUUACAAAGGCACAGCUUUUGCUGCUGUAUGCACCAUUUAGAGCAACUCCCUCUGAAUUUUGUUUUUCCCCUUUUAUGGCAACACCUGAGUCUGACCUUUGGAAAUUAAAAUAUUAAAA